This 2816-nucleotide ribosomal RNA is filed under the name Klebsiella pneumoniae. RNAcentral describes it as "partial 23S ribosomal RNA". It matches the Rfam family "Bacterial large subunit ribosomal RNA". Lineage: Bacteria; Pseudomonadati; Pseudomonadota; Gammaproteobacteria; Enterobacterales; Enterobacteriaceae. RNAcentral also lists the same sequence under 1 other name. The record is from RNAcentral.
GGUUAAGCGACUAAGCGUACACGGUGGAUGCCCUGGCAGUCAGAGGCGAUGAAGGACGUGCUAAUCUGCGAAAAGCGUCGGUAAGGUGAUAUGAACCGUUAUAACCGGCGAUGUCCGAAUGGGGAAACCCAGUGUGAUUCGUCACACUAUCGUUAACUGAAUACAUAGGUUAACGAGGCGAACCGGGGGAACUGAAACAUCUAAGUACCCCGAGGAAAAGAAAUCAACCGAGAUUCCCCCAGUAGCGGCGAGCGAACGGGGAGCAGCCCAGAGUCUGAAUCAGCUUGUGUGUUAGUGGAACGGUCUGGAAAGUCCGACGGUACAGGGUGAUAGUCCCGUACACCAAAAUGCACAGGUUGUGAACUCGAAGAGUAGGGCGGGACACGUGGUAUCCUGUCUGAAUAUGGGGGGACCAUCCUCCAAGGCUAAAUACUCCUGACUGACCGAUAGUGAACCAGUACCGUGAGGGAAAGGCGAAAAGAACCCCGGCGAGGGGAGUGAAAAAGAACCUGAAACCGUGUACGUACAAGCAGUGGGAGCACCUUCGGGUGUGACUGCGUACCUUUUGUAUAAUGGGUCAGCGACUUAUAUUCUGUAGCAAGGUUAACCGUAUAGGGGAGCCGCAGGGAAACCGAGUCUUAACUGGGCGUUAAGUUGCAGGGUAUAGACCCGAAACCCGGUGAUCUAGCCAUGGGCAGGUUGAAGGUUGGGUAACACUAACUGGAGGACCGAACCGACUAAUGUUGAAAAAUUAGCGGAUGACUUGUGGCUGGGGGUGAAAGGCCAAUCAAACCGGGAGAUAGCUGGUUCUCCCCGAAAGCUAUUUAGGUAGCGCCUCGUGAACUCAUCUUCGGGGGUAGAGCACUGUUUCGGCUAGGGGGUCAUCCCGACUUACCAACCCGAUGCAAACUACGAAUACCGAAGAAUGUUAUCACGGGAGACACACGGCGGGUGCUAACGUCCGUCGUGAAGAGGGAAACAACCCAGACCGCCAGCUAAGGUCCCAAAGUCAUGGUUAAGUGGGAAACGAUGUGGGAAGGCACAGACAGCCAGGAUGUUGGCUUAGAAGCAGCCAUCAUUUAAAGAAAGCGUAAUAGCUCACUGGUCGAGUCGGCCUGCGCGGAAGAUGUAACGGGGCUAAACCAUGCACCGAAGCUGCGGCAGCGACACUAUGUGUUGUUGGGUAGGGGAGCGUUCUGUAAGCCUGCGAAGGUGACCUGUGAGGGUUGCUGGAGGUAUCAGAAGUGCGAAUGCUGACAUAAGUAACGAUAAAGCGGGUGAAAAGCCCGCUCGCCGGAAGACCAAGGGUUCCUGUCCAACGUUAAUCGGGGCAGGGUGAGUCGACCCCUAAGGCGAGGCCGAAAGGCGUAGUCGAUGGGAAACAGGUUAAUAUUCCUGUACUUGGUGUUACUGCGAAGGGGGGACGGAGAAGGCUAUGUUAGCCGGGCGACGGUUGUCCCGGUUUAAGCAUGUAGGCUGAUUAUCCAGGCAAAUCCGGAUAAUCAAGGCUGAGGUGUGAUGACGAGGCACUACGGUGCUGAAGUAACAAAUGCCCUGCUUCCAGGAAAAGCCUCUAAGCAUCAGGUAACAUCAAAUCGUACCCCAAACCGACACAGGUGGUCAGGUAGAGAAUACCAAGGCGCUUGAGAGAACUCGGGUGAAGGAACUAGGCAAAAUGGUGCCGUAACUUCGGGAGAAGGCACGCUGGUGUGUAGGUGAAGUCCCUGCGGAUGGAGCUGAGACCAGUCGAAGAUACCAGCUGGCUGCAACUGUUUAUUAAAAACACAGCACUGUGCAAACACGAAAGUGGACGUAUACGGUGUGACGCCUGCCCGGUGCCGGAAGGUUAAUUGAUGGGGUUAUCCGUAAGGAGAAGCUCUUGAUCGAAGCCCCGGUAAACGGCGGCCGUAACUAUAACGGUCCUAAGGUAGCGAAAUUCCUUGUCGGGUAAGUUCCGACCUGCACGAAUGGCGUAAUGAUGGCCAGGCUGUCUCCACCCGAGACUCAGUGAAAUUGAACUCGCUGUGAAGAUGCAGUGUACCCGCGGCAAGACGGAAAGACCCCGUGAACCUUUACUAUAGCUUGACACUGAACAUUGAGCCUUGAUGUGUAGGAUAGGUGGGAGGCUUUGAAGCGUGGACGCCAGUCUGCGUGGAGCCAACCUUGAAAUACCACCCUUUAAUGUUUGAUGUUCUAACGUUGGCCCCUUACCGGGGUUGCGGACAGUGUCUGGUGGGUAGUUUGACUGGGGCGGUCUCCUCCCAAAGCGUAACGGAGGAGCACGAAGGUUAGCUAAUCCUGGUCGGACAUCAGGAGGUUAGUGCAAUGGCAUAAGCUAGCUUGACUGCGAGCGUGACGGCGCGAGCAGGUGCGAAAGCAGGUCAUAGUGAUCCGGUGGUUCUGAAUGGAAGGGCCAUCGCUCAACGGAUAAAAGGUACUCCGGGGAUAACAGGCUGAUACCGCCCAAGAGUUCAUAUCGACGGCGGUGUUUGGCACCUCGAUGUCGGCUCAUCACAUCCUGGGGCUGAAGUAGGUCCCAAGGGUAUGGCUGUUCGCCAUUUAAAGUGGUACGCGAGCUGGGUUUAGAACGUCGUGAGACAGUUCGGUCCCUAUCUGCCGUGGGCGCUGGAGAAUUGAGGGGGGCUGCUCCUAGUACGAGAGGACCGGAGUGGACGCAUCACUGGUGUUCGGGUUGUCAUGCCAAUGGCACUGCCCGGUAGCUAAAUGCGGAAGAGAUAAGUGCUGAAAGCAUCUAAGCACGAAACUUGCCCCGAGAUGAGUUCUCCCUGAGACUUUAAGUCUCCUGAAGGAACGUU